Neogale vison (American mink) is the source of this 2108-nucleotide long non-coding RNA. RefSeq lists it as uncharacterized. The transcript is spliced from 3 exons. Lineage: Eukaryota; Metazoa; Chordata; Mammalia; Carnivora; Mustelidae. The record is from RefSeq and is a predicted model, not a curated record.
AAGAUCAUGACCCAGGCCAAAAUCAAGAGCUAGCCACCGAGGUACCUCCUACAUUUUACUUUUUGUAUAUGGACUGUGGUCUUCUGUAUUAUUUAUUGCUGUGUAAAGAUUACCUAAAACUUAGUAGUUUACAAUAGCAAAUGCUUAUCUGAGAGUGGAGAGACAUCAGUGUUCUUGAUUCUCACUUGGCAAGUCUCAGUUCCUUGAUGGCUCUUGGCUAAAGACCAGUUCUUCACCGUGUGAACAUAGGCUGCCUGAGUGUCCCCACAACGUGACAGCUGGCUUCCACCAGAAGCAGUGAUCUAAGAAAGAAAUGCCAAGACAACAUGUAGGUGGGCACAUACAGGGAUGUGAAUACCAAGGGUCGGAGAAUGUUGGGGAUCCUCCUGGAGGUUGACUACCACAUCUGACUCUUUUUUUUUUUUUAAUUGCUUCAGUUUGUUGAGUCAAGAGUUUAGUAUUUGACCCUCAGGCCAGAUAAUUAGAAGUAUGAGAAUAUGGAUCCAAAUGUGCUCUCUUUUUUCUAAGGUGCACAGUUUCUUGCUGGUGAAUAUAUCAGUUCCAUAAAUGAUGCUAUAGUCUUUUUUGAAGUUUUCUAGGGAGUGUAUAAGAAAGCUCAUUUUAUAGCUAGAAUACUCUGCCUUGAUCAUAUAUAUUUUUUGGACCCAUUUCCCCUUUCCCAGUUCUUCUAGGUGGAAGUGGUUGGAGAAGCUGGAGGUAGACUGUAUAUAGAAGUACCUGUGCUAUUUUGCCUGCAGUGCACACUGACUUAGUGGAAAUUCCUGUUUUAAGUUUUUCAAGGAAUGUAGUCCACAAAUACUUAAAGGUACUUACUCAAAUAUUUGACAUAGGAUGGAAUGAAGGUACAAAUAUGCUGCAGCAGCUUUAAAGCAAUUUGUCCUUUUCCUCAAAAGCUAGAUAUUUAUCCACUAUGGUGAGUAUACUUUUCUUUCUUUUCUAAGUAGGUUCCAUGCUGGGCGUUGAUCCCAGGACCUUGAGAUCAAGACCUGAGCUGAGAGAUCAAGCAUCAGACACUUAAAACGGACUGAAGUACCCAGGCGCCCCAUACUUCCUUUCUGUUGCUCUGCUGCCUCCAUGGUCUUCUGUCCCUCUUAAUGAGCAAAAUAUGGACUUUACCAAGCAGUCAGAAUCCCCAUUAUUGGCAGAUUUCUAAUUAGGGCUCAAGAUUUUAAUCUUUUGAGCCUUUUCCCUUUAUCACUGCUUAAAAGUUGUUAGGAGGGGACAAUUCUCCCCCUUUUCCUUUAAAGCUCACAUGCUUCUAAUGAUUGGAGAUAUUGUCAAAUAACAAAAAGCAUUACAUAUAAAGAUGUAACCAGUUUUGGAAUGUAUUUGUAUUAAGCUAUGAUUGGCCUUUCCUUGGCAAGCUUAAUGUUGAGAAUAUAUUUCUAAGUUAGCAUAAGGUAAUCUAUGCAAAGUAGGUAAAUAACAUCCUUGAAAUUAUCUUUGGUAUGAGUUUUUUUCCCCAAUCAUAGUAAAAUUGGAGGUCUUAACCUGUUUAUUGAGAAUUCAAAUUUAUAGAAAUGUGCAUUUAUUGUGUGUUCUUUAAAAGGGGCUAAAUCAUGAAAACCUUAUGAUUAAAGCUUAAGCUGAAAAUAGGAAAAAAAUACAAAUGUCCAAUGAUUAAACUUUUUCCACUGCUGUUCACAUCAUGAUUUGUUGUGAUUAAUGUAUGUGGAUGAGGACAUACGGAAAAAAAAUCGUAGUGGGAGGAAGGAAAGUAUAGAUGGGAUGUAGUUUCUGUGUGUUGAAUUACUUAUUAGUGCUUUCCCUUUUAGGAAUGAAAUUGAAGGGUGUUUUUCUUAACAUCGUUUUGUCAGAUUCAUCUGAUAAAUGUGAACGUUUAUAGAGAAGACAUAAAAGUUGGUGAAAAGCUUUUUGUUUAUAUGCCUUAAUGAAAAGAUGUACAAAAUACAGGUAGUCUUUACUUUGCACCGUUCCAGUAUGCAUGAAGAUCAGUUUUUACAGUGAAGUAACACCAAUUCCCCUACAACAUGGUUGAAAUUUCAGUUACUACGAUAGUAACCAAAUUGUUGCAUAAGCUUUUCUGAAGCUCUUUAUUCCACCAAUGAUUAUAUAUAUAAAAGAUG